UACGGAGGAUGCGAGCGUUAUCCGGAUUUAUUGGGUUUAAAGGGUGCGUAGGCGGACUGUCAAGUCAGCGGUAAAAUUGAGAGGCUCAACCUCUUCCCGCCGUUGAAACUGGUGGUCUUGAGUGGAUGAGAAGUACGCGGAAUGCGUGGUGUAGCGGUGAAAUGCAUAGAUAUCACGCAGAACUCCGAUUGCGAAGGCAGCGUACCGGCGCCCUACUGACGCUGAAGCACGAAGGCGUGGGUAUCGAACGGG
This 252-nucleotide ribosomal RNA is filed under the name uncultured bacterium. RNAcentral's name for it is "partial 16S ribosomal RNA". It matches the Rfam family "Bacterial small subunit ribosomal RNA", at positions 524 to 776 of the family's 1533-position model. The record is from RNAcentral.